UGGGGAAUAUUGGACAAUGGGCGCAAGCCUGAUCCAGCCAUGCCGCGUGAGUGACGAAGGUCUUCGGAUUGUAAAGCUCUUUUAGCGGGGAAGAUAAUGACGGUAACUGCAGAAUAAGCCCCGGCUAACUUCGUGCCAGCAGCCGCGGUAAUACGAAGGGGGCUAGCGUUGUUCGGAAUUACUGGGCGUAAAGCGCACGUAGGCGGAUUGAUAAGUUAGAGGUGAAAUCCCGGAGCUCAACUUCGGAACUGCCUUUGAUACUGGCAAUCUCGAGUCCGGAAGAGGUUAGUGGAAUUCCCAGUGUAGAGGUGAAAUUCGUAGAUAUUGGGAAGAACACCAGUGGCGAAGGCGGCUAACUGGUCCGGUACUGACGCUGAGGUGCGAAAGCGUGGGGAGCAAACAGGAUUAGAUACCCCCGUAGUCCCUGAGCGGGCUGGCAAGGCGCAU
RNAcentral lists this ribosomal RNA (447 nucleotides) under uncultured bacterium. RNAcentral describes it as "bacterial SSU rRNA". It matches the Rfam family "Bacterial small subunit ribosomal RNA", at positions 355 to 825 of the family's 1533-position model. The record is from RNAcentral.